UACGUAGGUGACAAGCGUUGUCCGGAUUUACUGGGCGUAAAGAGCGCGCAGGCGGUCGUUCAAGUCGCGUGUGAAAGCCCCCGGCUCAACUGGGGAGGGUCACGCGAUACUGAUCGACUGGAAGGCAGGAGAGGGUAGUGGAAUUCCGGGUGUAGUGGUGGAAUGCGUAGAGAUCCGGAGGAACACCAGCGGCGAAGGCGGCAUCCUGGACUGGUCCUGACACUCAGGAGCGAAAGCGUGGGGAGCGAUCCGG
This 253-nucleotide ribosomal RNA is filed under the name uncultured bacterium. RNAcentral's name for it is "partial 16S ribosomal RNA". It matches the Rfam family "Bacterial small subunit ribosomal RNA", at positions 524 to 776 of the family's 1533-position model. The record is from RNAcentral.